CUACGUGCCAGCAGCCGCGGUAAUACGUAGGGUGCGAGCGUUAAUCGGAAUUACUGGGCGUAAAGCGGGCGCAGACGGUUACUUAAGCAGGAUGUGAAAUCCCCGGGCUCAACCUGGGAACUGCGUUCUGAACUGGGUGACUAGAGUGUGUCAGAGGGAGGUAGAAUUCCACGUGUAGCAGUGAAAUGCGUAGAGAUGUGGAGGAAUACCGAUGGCGAAGGCAGCCUCCUGGGAUAGCACUGACGUUCAUGCUCGAAAGCGUGGGUAGCAAACAGGAUUAGAUACCCUGGUAGUCCACGCCCUAAACGAUGUCAAUUAGCUGUUGGGGCACUAGAUGCCUUAGUAGCGAAGCUAACGCGUGAAAUUGACCGCCUGGGGAGUACGGUCGCAAGAUUAAAACUCAAAGGAAUUGACGGGGACCCGCACAAGCGGUGGAUGAUGUGGAUUAAUUCGAUGCAACGCGAAGAACCUUACCUGGUCUUGACAUGUACGGAAUCUCUCAGAGACGGGAGAGUGC
Molecule: ribosomal RNA, 517 nt
Filed under: uncultured bacterium
Lineage: Bacteria
Description: bacterial SSU rRNA
Rfam family: Bacterial small subunit ribosomal RNA
Source: RNAcentral